Molecule: ribosomal RNA, 466 nt
Filed under: Gymnogobius breunigii
Lineage: Eukaryota; Metazoa; Chordata; Actinopteri; Gobiiformes; Gobiidae
Description: partial 12S ribosomal RNA
Rfam family: Bacterial small subunit ribosomal RNA
Source: RNAcentral
CUUGCCAGGGGACUACGAGCCUCAGCUUAAAACCCAAAGGACUUGGCGGUGCUUUAGACCCCCCUAGAGGAGCCUGUUCUAGAACCGAUAACCCCCGUUAAACCUCACCCUCUCUUGUUCAUCCCGCCUAUAUACCGCCGUCGUCAGCUUACCCUGUGAAGGAUUAAACGUGAGCUUAAUUGGUACAACCCAAAACGUCAGGUCGAGGUGUAGCGUACGAGAGGGGAAGAAAUGGGCUACAUUCACUGAACCAGUGCAUACGAACGACGCUUUGAAAUCAGGCGUUUGAAGGAGGAUUUAGCAGUAAGGAGAGAAUAGUGUGCUUUCCUGAAACCGGCCCUGAAGCGCGCACACACCGCCCGUCACUCUCCCCAAAAAUAGGCAAAUUUUAAAUAAAACCCAACUUUAAGAAAGGGGAGGCAAGUCGUAACAUGGUAAGUGUACCGGAAGGUGCACUUGGAAAAAA